RNAcentral lists this ribosomal RNA (253 nucleotides) under uncultured bacterium. RNAcentral's name for it is "partial 16S ribosomal RNA". It matches the Rfam family "Bacterial small subunit ribosomal RNA", at positions 524 to 776 of the family's 1533-position model. The record is from RNAcentral.
UACAGAGGUCGCAAGCGUUGUUCGGAUUCACUGGGCGUAAAGGGUGCGUAGGCGGUCGGGCAAGUCUGACGUGAAAUCUCCAAGCUCAACUUGGAAAUGGCGUCGGAUACGAUUCGGCUCGAGGAAUGGAGGGGAGACUGGAAUUCUCGGUGUAGCAGUGAAAUGCGUAGAUAUCGAGAGGAACACCAGUGGCGAAGGCGAGUCUCUGGACAUUUCCUGACGCUGAGGCACGAAAGCCAGGGGAGCAAACGGG